CAGUGCAGUCACCCAUAAAGUAGAAAGCACUACUAACAGCACUGGAGGGUGUAGUGUUUCCUACUUUAUGGAUGAGUGUACUGU
This is a non-coding RNA of Ailuropoda melanoleuca (giant panda), 84 nucleotides long. NCBI's taxonomy places the organism in Eukaryota, Metazoa, Chordata, Mammalia, Carnivora, Ursidae. The record is from Rfam.